Vigna unguiculata (cowpea) is the source of this 1523-nucleotide long non-coding RNA. NCBI's taxonomy places the organism in Eukaryota, Viridiplantae, Streptophyta, Magnoliopsida, Fabales, Fabaceae. The record is from RefSeq and is a predicted model, not a curated record.
UUUGUUUCCAGUAUAUUGUUGGGUUUAGUUUUGUUGUUAUUGAUAUCGAAGAUGUUUUGCAUUUUGUCUACGUUUUGUUUUUCCCAGGUUCAUUAGGAGUUUUCUUCUUCCUGUUUGGUGAGGUUCAUUAGGAGUUUUCUUCUUUCAGUUUGCUGAGUACCUUUUUCGAAGAUCAAGACGAAGAUCUCAAGAAAAAAAACGAAAAAGGUUUCAUUUUUAUUAUUUCUCCAUUUUUUUAGUUUGAUUUUAAUCAUUUCUAUUCUGUGAGCUAACCCGUUCCAAUGUUGCUAAGAUUGUGUGUCUUUUUGGAAUCUGACGGUGGUUUUUUUCUUUAGGAUUUUUCAUUUUCUUCUUCCUUUUUUAUUACUUCUGUUCAAAGUUUUUAGGAUUUGUGUUGGAGAGAAGAUCGAAGGUUUUUGAAGAUCAAGACGAAGUUCUCAAGAAAAAGACGAAAAGGGUUUAAUUUUUAUCAUUUCCCCGUAGUAACUUUUGAGUUUGAUUUUAAUUAUUUUGUUCUGUAAGCCAACCCGUUCUGAUGUUGCUAGGUUUGUGUGUUCUUGGAAUCUUGGUGGUUGUUUUUCUCUUUAGGGUUAUUUAUACGAGGAUAUAGAGUGUUCUAAAUGGUGUUGGAUAUGUUCCCUCUAAUACAGAAAGGUAUUCCCUUGGAGGCAUUAUCUCUGCCAUUGAGAAUGCUUUUCAUGCAUCUCCUUUAAUAAUUUGCUCAAAAGAUUGUAUUGAGGAACUUCAUCUAUGCUUUUACAAGGACUUCCAGCCCCGAGAUUCUGCUGUUAGUUCUGAUGUUAAAAUUGGCAUGGUUACUUCAAAAGGAUCUUGUCCCAAAUAUGUUAGCUUGCCUUAGCCGCUUUCAGGAAUGACCAGUGGAUUAAGGAUGAAGGAGAUGGUUUAUAAUCUAAAGAGAGAUGUCAUGGAAUAUGUACAGAAGGUGAAAACCUGAUGCAGUUGAUGCUUCGUAAACAACCAAGUUUCUCAGUACUACUUCACUGUUUACGUCUAAACCAUUUGUUGGAAGGUACAAUGUUAUUGUUUUCACAUCAAAUUCAAUGGUUGAUAUGUCUCCAUUGGUGGCCAUGAAACAAACCCCAGAUUUUGAGAGUUUCGUGACUGAAGGAGUAGCAAUUUCCUCCAUCAAGGGUGGUUUGUUGGUGGCAUUAUCUGAGCUUAAAUUCACAUUUUCUGCAGUUCUGGCUUCUUUUUCUUCGGAGAAAAAUAAGUAUUCACAAGUUGCUUUAUAAAUCCUACAGGAAGGUUGGAAAUUAUAGUCCAAGGCAACCAAGUGAUAACUUUCAUGGUUCUACAGUGUAGGAAUUUCUUAAUUAAGUUUUAACCCUUAACUAUUACCACUGUAGAAGUUCUAGAUGGCUACUAAUUAAACUGGGAAAGCUUGUAAUCGUGUCCACUGUUUACAUUAUAUUUUGCUGCUGCUGCCAGUAAUGUUUUAGUCAGUCCAUUAAAAGUCAAUAUAAUGACUCCCUCUUGCAUUAUAUAAAUAUUUUUAUAAUUUA